CCCCUUAACAUCCCGGCCCGUGCGCCCUAUAUUCAGCCUUGUCCUUCGGGACUAUGGACAUAAACGCGCUCGUAAUAAGCGGAUCGGACCCGGGGGCGGUACCCGGCGGCUCCACCAACCAUCCUUCGUUUGGGGAUCAUGGGGCCGAAACAGGAUCGACGAACGUCUAAAGGGGUUAGCUUUGUCCCGGUGAGUUACCACCGUUAUCGGUACAACUAAGCUAGUUGCAAACGACAACAAAGCUCCGGUGGCAAUGGCUGCGUAAGCAGUCGGAUCUACCGAAAUCUUAAGUCCUAGGGCCUAGCAGCUUUAGGCGGGGUUCGCAGGUACCUGGCAACAGAAACCUGCAUU
Marinovum algicola DG 898 is the source of this 351-nucleotide non-coding RNA. NCBI's taxonomy places the organism in Bacteria, Pseudomonadati, Pseudomonadota, Alphaproteobacteria, Rhodobacterales, Roseobacteraceae. The record is from Rfam.